This 2094-nucleotide ribosomal RNA is filed under the name Triticum aestivum (bread wheat). RNAcentral's name for it is "partial small subunit ribosomal RNA". Lineage: Eukaryota; Viridiplantae; Streptophyta; Magnoliopsida; Poales; Poaceae. The record is from RNAcentral.
AUGGCGACGAGGCCGGGCGACGAGACCGCGCAGCCCCCGCCGAAGCGCCCCCGCCACGACGGCGACCGACCCGAGCCCGAGCCGGCGCCGGCACCGGCGCGCGUGCAGCUCAACCCGGCGGACUGCAACCUCGACUUCGACGUCGGCGCCGGCGGGCUGCGGGGGGAGGCGCUGCACGGGGGCGGGUUCGCCUACUGCUGGUCGGGCGCGCGCGCGACGGCGGGGGCCCGGGGCGGCGGGCGGUACUGCUUCGGGUGCAGGGUGGUGGCGGAGCAGGCCGUGGAGAUGGGCGACACGGAGGCCGCCCAGCGCCACCUCUGCCGCGUCGGCGUCUCCCGGGGGGACGACCCCGUGGGCGGCCUCGGGGAGGCCGGCGGCCGCGGCUUCGGGUUCGGGGGCACGGGGAAGCUCUCCCACCGGGGCAGGUUCUUCGAUUACGGCGCCGCGUUCGGGGUCGGGGACACCGUCGUCUGCGCCGUGGACCUCGAUUCCAAGCCCAUGGCCUCGAUUGGGUUCGCCAAGAACGGCGAGUGGCUCGGCAUUGCUCACUACUUUGAUGCCGGACACAAGGGGUUUGGUCUGGUUGAUGCUCCUGUGAGGCCGAUGCAGUGGGAGUCAGCAAUCUUCCCGCAUGUCCUGCUGAAGAAUGUCGUCGUCGAGAUGCAGUUUAGCAGGGAGGAUGGGCUGGAGCCGGUCGAUGGCUACGAGCCCUGGACCUCAUCUUUGGUCGAUGGCAAUGCGGUGCUUGGGCCUGUGUUUGCAGAACGGAAGGAGUGUGAGGUUAUGAUGAUGGUUGGCCUCCCGGCUUCGGGGAAGACUACUUGGGCAGAGAAGUGUGUCAGGGAACAUCCGGAGAAACGCUUCGUCCUUCUUGGAACCAACCUUGCAUUGGACCAAAUGAAGGUGCCGGGAUUGCUUCGUAAGAACAACUAUGGUGAGCGCUUUGACCGUUUGAUGGAUCACGCCACACAGAUUUUCAACACAUUGCUGGACAGAGCCGCAAAGAUCCCCCGCAAUUACAUUCUCGACCAAACAAAUGUGUACAAAAGCGCCCGUAUUCGCAAGCUGAGGCCAUUUGCAAACUACUAUAAAAUUGCUGUGGUUGUUUUCCCAUCGCCAAGUGAACUCAAUUCCCGGGCAGCAAAACGAUUCCAGGAGAUGGGGAAGGAUGUACCGGCUGAAGCAGUUGAUCAGAUGACAGCCAAUUUUGUCUUGCCACUGUCAAAUGACAUUCCUGGUUCAAAGGAGCCUUUCGAUGAGGUGAUUUUUGUGGAGCUUUCCAGGGAUGAUGCCCAGAGAGACCUAGACGAGAUGAAGCGUCUGCUGCCAAGAGCCUCGACUACCAGCCAUGGCAAUUUCAGUAACCAGAUGGUGAGCUCAGCAUAUACCGGGACUGUUUCUGUGGCAGGACCAUCUCCAUCGCCAGGCUUUGAACCACCAAUGAACUACUCCUAUGGACAAGGUGUGCAUGCUCCGGGUGCACAGGCUGGCUACUCAAAUGCUCCAUAUCAGAUCCAGUCAAGCUACUCGAAUGCCCCAUAUCAGCAACAGACAUGCGCAAGCUACCCAAAUCCAAGCUAUCCAAACACCGCAGACCAGAAUCAAGUUCACGCAAGCUACACAAGCACCGCAGACCAGCAUCAAGUUCACACAAGCUACGCAAGCACCGCAGACCAGCAUCAAGCCUACGGAAGCUACGCAAGCGCCCCGCUUCCUGGAUAUGGAUCACCAAAUGCAUAUGGUUCCCAAGGGUACCCAAGUCCAUACAGCAGCCCUGGUUACGCGAUGAACAUCUACCAGACUCCUGAGCCAGAGGGAGAAUACGUGGGAUCCGGCUACGGACCUGCACCCCCAGUCCAUGCCCAGCCAUCCGGCUACCGUCAUGAUGGUGCUUCCUCAUGGAGCUCUGGCAGUUACAGACCCUAUGGACAGCAGCCUCUUGAUGCGCGCUACACAAACACGAGCUCGCAGUACGGUGCUGCAGUCCCCAUGCCGCCUCCGCACGGAGCUCUUCUGCAUCCAGUUCCUGGGCCGCCGCCUUCAGCACCUCCCCCUCCUCCCUACUACAUGAAUGCACAGCCAGGCCGUUGGUAG